CAGCCGCCGCGGGAAUACGAAGGGGGCUAGCGUUGCUCGGAAUGACUGGGCGUAAAGGGCGCGUAGGCGGUUUUGACAGUCAGAUGUGAAAUUCCUGGGCUUAACCUGGGGGCUGCAUUUGAGACGUCAAGACUAGAGUGUGAGAGAGGGUUGUGGAAUUCCCAGUGUAGAGGUGAAAUUCGUAGAUAUUGGGAAGAACACCGGUGGCGAAGGCGGCAACCUGGCUCAUUACUGACGCUGAGGCGCGAAAGCGUGGGGAGCAAACAGGAUUAGAUACCCCGGUAGUCCCUGUCUCUUAUAC
This 301-nucleotide ribosomal RNA is filed under the name uncultured bacterium. RNAcentral's name for it is "partial 16S ribosomal RNA". It matches the Rfam family "Bacterial small subunit ribosomal RNA", at positions 509 to 807 of the family's 1533-position model. The record is from RNAcentral.